Molecule: microRNA, 21 nt
Filed under: Nicotiana tabacum (common tobacco)
Lineage: Eukaryota; Viridiplantae; Streptophyta; Magnoliopsida; Solanales; Solanaceae
Description: nta-miR6161d
Source: miRBase by way of RNAcentral
UGAACUCCAGCAUAUUAUACU